UGGAAGUAAAAGUCGUAACAAGGUCUCCGUUGGUGAACCAGCGGAGGGAUCAUUACCGAGUUUACAACUCCCAAACCCCUGUGAACAUACCUUUAUGUUGCCUCGGCGGAUCAGCCCGUUCCUCGGAACGGCCCGCCGCAGGACCCUAAACUCUGUUUUUAGUGGAACUUCUGAGUAAAAAAACAAAUAAAUCAAAACUUUCAACAACGGAUCUCUUGGUUCUGGCAUCGAUGAAGAACGCAGCAAAAUGCGAUAAGUAAUGUGAAUUGCAGAAUUCAGUGAAUCAUCGAAUCUUUGAACGCACAUUGCGCCCGCCAGUAUUCUGGCGGGCAUGCCUGUUCGAGCGUCAUUUCAACCCUCAAGCCCAGCUUGGUGUUGGGAGCUGUCGUCUGACACUCCCCAAAUACAUUGGCGGUCACGUCGAGCUUCCAUAGCGUAGUAAUUUACACAUCGUUACUGGUAAUCGUCGCGGCCASGCCGUUAAACCCCAACUUCUGAAUGUUGACCUCGGAUCAGGUAGGAAUACCCGCUGAACUUAAGCAUAUCAUUNAAAGCGGAGGAA
This 562-nucleotide ribosomal RNA is filed under the name Fusarium sp. FVM. RNAcentral's name for it is "eukaryotic LSU rRNA". The stretch from base 196 to 349 matches the Rfam family "5.8S ribosomal RNA". Lineage: Eukaryota; Fungi; Ascomycota; Sordariomycetes; Hypocreales; Nectriaceae. The record is from RNAcentral.